UCAGGUAUGGUCUAGUGGUAUGACGUCACGUUGUGGUUCUCCUUCUAGGGCGAGCAAACCCGUGCCAGCCUGGGUUCGAUUCCCAGUACCGCCA
Molecule: non-coding RNA, 94 nt
Organism: Zasmidium cellare ATCC 36951
Lineage: Eukaryota; Fungi; Ascomycota; Dothideomycetes; Mycosphaerellales; Mycosphaerellaceae
Source: the annotation of a RefSeq genome assembly